AUUGAACGCUGGCGGCAGGCCUAACACAUGCAAGUCGAACGGUAACAGGAAGCAGCUUGCUGCUUUGCUGACGAGUGGCGGACGGGUGAGUAAUGUCUGGGAAACUGCCUGAUGGAGGGGGAUAACUACUGGAAACGGUAGCUAAUACCGCAUAACGUCGCAAGACCAAAGAGGGGGACCUUAGGGCUUCUUGCCAUCGGAUGUGCCCAGAUGGGAUUAGCUAGUAGGUGGGGUAACGGCUCACCUAGGCGACGAUCCCUAGCUGGUCUGAGAGGAUGACCAGCCACACUGGAACUGAGACACGGUCCAGACUCCUACGGGAGGCAGCAGUGGGGAAUAUUGCACAAUGGGCGCAAGCCUGAUGCAGCCAUGCCGCGUGUAUGAAGAAGGCCUUCGGGUUGUAAAGUACUUUCAGCGGGGAGGAAGGGAGUAAAGUUAAUACCUUUGCUCAUUGACGUUACCCGCAGAAGAAGCACCGGCUAACUCCGUG
This 490-nucleotide ribosomal RNA is filed under the name uncultured bacterium. RNAcentral describes it as "partial 16S ribosomal RNA". It matches the Rfam family "Bacterial small subunit ribosomal RNA", at positions 30 to 507 of the family's 1533-position model. The record is from RNAcentral.